GGCCAUUCUUUUAGUGCCCAUUUUUCCCCUUUCUCCAUUCCUUCAUGCAAAAGACCACUCUUUCUCUCCCAUUGAAUCAAGCCCGAAAUAAAGCCAAGUAAAAUCCCGAAAAGGGGAGUGAAGUAAUUUUUACAGUACAAAAAAGUCCCCCAGCGCCAAUAUCACCACUAUCUACAUGGUCAUCUUCGUCUCCACCACCGCUGUCAUCCUUCUCCUCCGUACCCUUCGAUACCAUCAUGGCCAACUCCCCGUUGCCAUUAGUCGCGGUAGCUAGCUCUGGAAUUCUUAAAGCUUAUCAUUAAUUCUCGUCCUCGUUGACUCCAUCAACCCUAGUCCCCACUUUCUCUCACUUUUCGUUGGUCUCUAAUGGCUCAGAUUAAAACUUCCUUGACCCAGAUGAGUGAUGGAAUUUUGUUUUAUAUUUUACCAAUUUCUUAUGUUUUAUUCUCUUUACUGUUCUUGACUAAAACUACUAACGUGGUUAACUGGAUUUCAUCUGGGAUUUGGGUAUUUUCUAUUUUUCAACAUGAUCUUGAACUUAAUAAAUUGGGUUUUGAUAAAGCUUCCAAAUGUGGUGUAAAAAAAUGUAGGAUUUAUAAUACUUGCUUUACCAAUAGUUGUUGUGAACACAAUAUUGCUCGAGAUGAUUAGGAACUCCGAACAAUUCAAUGGCGCCACGUGAGUGGGGUGUGGUGGUUCCAUUUUUGGCACUAGUGUAAGUUUGUUACGGUGAUUGGUAAAACGGUUUUGAUGAUAAUUAUAAAAUCCUAAGCCUGUUGAUACUUGUUUGAUUCUAAGUAUCACGUAUAAUGGUUUUCUAAAAUAUUAUGAAUCCUUGAAUCAUAGAUUUAACAAAAAAUUCUAUUUUAGUCACAAGUUAUAGGCAGCAUCAAUAAGGCUUUACAAGUUCUUAAUGUGAAAAAUUACAUUAUUUAUUUAGAUCUAUAUCUUAAUUUUCGAAAUGAAGAUUUGUUGUUGUGGUUUUUCAUGUCUCACUUAUCAGUUUGUGAUGAUUUUUUGUAGAAGAUGGUGGUGGCAAUAAUAAGACAGUGUAAGUUACAAUUUUAAAUAAAUUACACACACUUUAUCAGAAUUUAAUAUCAUCACUUACCCAAAAAAAAAGUGAUUAUUCUUGCUGGGCCUUUGUUUUUUUAAUACUCGCCCGAAGGGAUGCAUAUAGAAAAAUCUUGUGCGAUUUUGGGUCCCUUUUAUCAAAUUGAAUUUUCAUUGAAUUUUGGUGGAUAAAUUUAUAAAUAUGUGGCAAUUUUUGGUGCAGCAAAUUCCUGUGACUGCGAAAAAUCAAUUUUCUGUGAUAAGUUAUAAAGAAGAUGAACUGUAUCUAAGCAGAUCCAAAAAUGGAAAACAAGGACAAGGCAGUGAUUAAGAAUGUUGUGGAGGGUUUUUUUGCUUACGGAAUUUUAAUGCUGUCUAGUAGGUUAAGCCUUGAUGGUGUUUUACUUUUCAUCUUGAGAGUUGUCGUCUUUCAAUACGAAUCGUGUUCGAUCAUUUAUUUCUGGACUCUAAAGAUGAUCGUCACAUUACAAAAGGAUUAUGGAUGUUCGCUAUAUUUAUCAUUGGCUUAGGUGUUUAUGUUUUUCCACAUCAUGAUGCAAAGUUGGCUGUUAAAUUGUUACUCCUCUUGCUGCCACAUAAAUUCUGUCCUCCCAUAGCCCAAUGAGUAGAUAAUCUUUGCUACCAGUAGAAACAAUCUUAGAAAUUUAGUUGUUUUUCUUGAAAUUCAAUGCAACGAUAAGAAAUUGAUCUUUCUACUUAUAUUGAAGCUCUUGUCUUUAAAUAUAUAAUAAAUAAUUUGAAGCUAAAAAAAAUCACGUCCUCAGUAUCCUUCCCAUUAUUGUGAUGAGUUUUGCAUCGGUUAAUGUCGGGUUUUGUUUGGUUUUUUAUGAUUUGAUUUGGUUAAAUAUAAAUUAUCUCAUGGUAGGAUUCAGCUGCUUAAUUUGAUGGGAUGCCUAGGAUGAAUUGAUAGUUUUUUCUUUCGUUUCAUGUGCUACAAAUAUCAAAUAAAUAAAUUGAUACUUGGUGCAAAAAAAGAAUAUAGAGAGUUUUAAUUGCUGCCAUUUUUUAAAAUUUAGAUGGGAAUUCCUUAAAUUUUGUUCGUGUGCCAAUAGUUUACUGCUUCUCUUAAGAAAAAGUUAGGAUUAAAUUGUUGUAAGAAUUUGUUAACUUCCGAUUAGAAAUUAAUUUCUAUUUUGUUAAUGAGAUUGCUUCUCUAUUAUAAUUCAAUAUUAUGUUUAUUUCUCACACAUAUUACAUGCUUGUGGGGACAUUCCUUGAUAAGUCAUCCAUUUGUUAGGACUCAUAGGAGGAAGAGUGCUUUGAAUUAGUUGCUGCUUGUCUUCUUUUGGAUAGAGUAUGCCCACAUCUAAGGUAUGGAGUUGUAUAUAUUUUACUCAACUCUUAAAUUUCAUGUAUGAAUUUGGCAGUCUAGGAAAUAACAAUGUAGAAAUGCAUGGUGUAUGGUGAUAACAUUAGUUCGUGGACCAUGUAAUUUUCAAUUGCUUUUUUAAAUUUUCGUAUAGUACUUCACUACUUCUUUAAACACAUUUUCGAUUGAACUUGGUCAGAAUCUUUAAAUUUUCAGACAUUUUUUUUAACAGCAACUCACAUGUACAUUGGGAAACCGGGGAAUAAGAUUACAAAAAAUAAGUGAAACUCUAUAGGUUAAGGCUGAAAAAUAAUCUUCGAUCAUGGAACUCAACAUGUUAAAAGCCUAUAACGAUAAUGAAAGACAAUGCUCCCUUGUGAGUGCUUUAGCCCACUCGAAUGACCUGGAUAGUGGUUACUCCAAAGUCAUUAUCUAGAAAGGUUAAUUUCCCACAUGCCUAAUAUGUUUUAAAUUUAUUUUGCUUGGUCAAAUACUCUUAAGUUAUACUUCCCUUUAAAAUGGGUUUAAAGCACUAUUACUCAAUCAACUGAUAGCAAAGUUUCGUGUUAGUCAUGGAAGCUUAUUUUAUUCCAAAAUAAUUACUUAAGUUUGUUUUUAGUUUUUAGGAAAGUCACUUAUCUAAAAUACAUCACUUUUUCUCUGCAAUUUUUAUUUUCAUUUGAAUUUCUUUCUUAGUUAGAUUAACACUACCUAUGGGUGUUUUAUUGAAUUCUUCAUUGUCUCAUUUUGAUCAGAAACUAUAGAAGAGAUUUUGUGAGGUAGUCAUAACAGAAAUCAAACUUCGUGUAGAAGAUUGGAAGUAUGUUCUAUGAACAGAUUGUCC
RNAcentral lists this long non-coding RNA (3227 nucleotides) under Olea europaea subsp. europaea. The record is from RNAcentral. Lineage: Eukaryota; Viridiplantae; Streptophyta; Magnoliopsida; Lamiales; Oleaceae.